This is a long non-coding RNA of Gadus macrocephalus (Pacific cod), 662 nucleotides long. RefSeq lists it as uncharacterized. The transcript has 2 exons. The record is from RefSeq and is a predicted model, not a curated record. Lineage: Eukaryota; Metazoa; Chordata; Actinopteri; Gadiformes; Gadidae.
UUCCUCUUUAUGAAAUCCUGUCCCUCUAGGGCUUCACAUGUACAUAGUUCUUACUGGAUUGACGGGGUUUGUGAGCGUUGGUUCCGGUGAAGUCAGCUAUUCACCAAGUUUCAUGAGUGUUUGAUGGACUGUAGUCGGUGUAGACAGACAAGGCUAUGCACCAAGUGAGUAAACAUAUAAACAUAUACACAUUACCACAACAUAAAAGUGUUACAAAUCUGGGGCCGUAUUCACAAAGCAUUUUAUCUUACCGCUAGGAGUGCUCCUAACUCGCGCUAAAACAUUUUACGUAGGAGUUUUUUCUUAAAAGUUAUUCACAAAGCCGCUGAGACCUACUCUUACUAAGGAUAAAUCACAAAGAGUGAACUAAGAGUGACGCGCCGUUGCUAUGGAUUACGUCAAUUCUCGUGCACGAGUUUAGAAGCGGUCAGUUCGGUGAUUGGUUGUUCAGACGAGCCCACUGAAUCACCGAAAAACAAGGAAAUAGCCCAGGCUAGAAAUGAAUCCCUAUUAAGUAGUUAUAGUGCAGUUAGCAGAAUACACGCAUGAUGACAAUUUUGUGCAGACCACGAUAAUGACGUUGUAGCCUGCACGUUCAAGAGAGAGAGAAAGCAAACAAUAAAAAUACGUAAAAUCUAAAAGAAAAUAAAUGUUACGAACUA